AAGCAUAUGAUGUUACAAGGAGAUGCUACUGAGAUGUCAGCCAUCGUUGAAGUAUCUUAAACUGAGCUUUUUAAAACUGAUGCUUG
Hordeum vulgare subsp. vulgare (domesticated barley) is the source of this 86-nucleotide non-coding RNA. The record is from Rfam. Lineage: Eukaryota; Viridiplantae; Streptophyta; Magnoliopsida; Poales; Poaceae.